This 253-nucleotide ribosomal RNA is filed under the name uncultured bacterium. RNAcentral's name for it is "partial 16S ribosomal RNA". It matches the Rfam family "Bacterial small subunit ribosomal RNA", at positions 524 to 776 of the family's 1533-position model. The record is from RNAcentral.
UACGUAGGGUGCAAGCGUUGUCCGGAAUUAUUGGGCGUAAAGAGCUCGUAGGCGGUCUGUCGCGUCGGCUGUGAAAUCCCGAGGCUCAACCUCGGGUCUGCAGUCGAUACGGGCAAACUAGAGUAUUGCAGGGGAGACUGGAAUUCCUGGUGUAGCGGUGAAAUGCGCAGAUAUCGAGAGGAACACCUGCGGCGAAGGCGGGUUGCUGGGCUGAUACUGACGCUGAGGCGCGAAAGCGUGGGGAGCAAACAGG